CAAAUAGAGGAAAAGAAAUACAUUCUUUAUCAUAACUUUGAUACGCAUGCCAUUAUUGUUCGUAAAUAGAAAAAAAAGUAAUAACAUCCACAGCCACUGCUAUGCCAUAGCCUAUUCUUAUCAGCAAAGCUUAUAAGAAAUACUAGAACGAAUUAAUCAUAUUCAUCAUAAUUUAUCGAUAUUCAUAAUAAUAUAUAAAAGAAACGUAUCUUAAUUUCUAAACCCACAAAAAAAAAAACAGUGAUCGAAAAAUUAAGACAUUUAUGAAUGCUCAGUUUGACCUAACACGCACUGUCACACUGAGUCUCACACGCACCGAUGGUGAAUAGAAACGGGUAGGCUUGGUGUGUGCACUUUAUCAUCAAUCAUCGGCCUCAAGAAGCCUCUCACGGGACCUUUAGUACAAUGAACAUCACCGUGAAUAUUAGUGACAGUAAAGCUGAAAAUACCUUGUACUAUCUUUUAUGAUGGAAAAAGUAUUAAAGAUUGUGAGUAAACAUGAUGAAAAACGAAGGUGUGAUGCAGUGAUAGUGGAUAUAUUGAAGGUGAGUGAAAAUAUAGUGAACGAAGGUGAUGAAAAAUAGUGAUAUGGAAAAGAAAAUAUAGUGAAAAAAGAAAAUGUGAAAAUUGUACAGCGUGAAUGGGAAAAGAGAAUAGUGAAAAAAUAAAUGUAGAAGAUCGUUGUGAAAGAAAAAUAAUGAAGAUGAAAGAUAAAGAAAAGUCAAAUAGAAAGAAAUGAAAUGGAGAUGAUGCAAAUGGAAAAAGGGAGUACUGACUCAGAGGAUGUGACGGAAGAAGAAGAAGAAAGAGAAGGAGGAGGAGGAGGAGGAGGAGAAGGAGGGGAAAGAAGAGGAAGCUAUUGUUUACCUUCUUCUCACCUGCCUUACCUCAUUUACUGUUUACCUGUCAAAUUCUCCCUUUCCUCACCUGCCCCGUCUCACUGUUUGUUCCCGUCACACCAGCACCGGAAGGACCUAACUAGUGACACCUGGCGGACAAGAUAGCACUAAUGACAGGACCGUGAGAGUGAAAGGGUUAAGCUCACCUAUGAAAACACCCACACAGGUAACAGGUUUAUAAUUGGGCCGAACUGAGGCACUUGGAGCAAUUUGAAUAGUAAUGAUAUAAAAGGCCACGGUCUUAUCCCCAGGCCGCGCCACAAAGGAGAGCGCAACACCCGGACCGGCUGGGUUUAAGAAGCUCACCUUGCUGAUAAUAAUAGAUGCAAAUGGAAACGUAAUAAAUUGUAAUGCCGGGGCGUGAGAAAAUGAUUGGGGGAAAAUGGAAGAUGGCUCAGGAAAUUAGAGUAGAGGUUGUGGUGAUGGAAAUAAUGAAAGAGAAAAUAUUAGGGAAAGUAGAAAAAUGUUAAUGUUGAAUUGAAAUUGAUUGUAAAAAAUGCAAGAAAUUAGACCAGAAAUUGUGGUGAUGGAAAUAUGAAAGAAAUGUGAGAAAAGAUAAAAUGAAAAGGAUUAGAAUGAGAGAGAAAUUGUGGUGAUGGAGACAUGAUAGAAAAAAGAAAUUAAGAAAGGUAGAAAAAUAAUAGAAAAUGAUUGGGAGAAAAAUGCAAGACGGUUCAGGAAAUUAGAGUAGAAAUUGUGACGAUGGAAAUAUGAAAGAAAAAAAAAUUAGGAAAAAUAGAAAAAUGUGAAGGUUGAAUUGAAAUUGAUUAGGGAAAAAUGUAAGAGGGUUCAGGAAAUUAAAGUAGAAAUUGUAGUGAUGGAAAUAUGAGAAAAAAAAAUGUGAGAAAAGAUAAAAUAAAAAAAGACGAGAAUUAGAGGGAAAAUAUAGUGAUGGAAACAUGAAAAAAAUGAUGAAUGGAAGAACACAGUAGAAAAUGAUCAGGGAAAAUAUAAGAUGUCCAGGAAAUUAGAGUAAAAACCGUAGUGAUAGAAAUAGGAGAGAAAAAAUAUUAAGAAAAGUAGAAAAAUGUUAAGCUUGAAUUGGAAAUGAUUAGGAAAAAUGUAAGAGGUUAAAAAAAUAAAGAAAAAAUUGUAGUGAUGGAGAUAUGAAAGAAAAAAUGAGGAUUAAAACACGAGGAUUAAGAUUUAGAAUGAGGAUUAUAUGACAUGAAAGGAAAACGAAAUGAGGAAAGGCAGAAAGUUGAAUUGAGAUCACAGGAGAAAUUUGUAGUGAAAGAGAUAUGGAGGAAGAGAAAAGAAAGUAAAGAUAGGAAAGGAAUAAAUUUGAAUUGAAGAGAUAUGAAAGAUGGGAAAAGUAAGGAAAGAUAGAAAAGUAAGUUUGAAUUGAACAGAUAUGAAAGAUCGAAAAUGUAAGGAAUAAAAAAUAAGUUUGAAUUGGACUGAUAUGAAAGAUGGAAAAAGUAAGGAAAAAAAAAGUAAUAAGUUUGAAUUGAACAGAUAUGAAAGAUCGAAGAGUAAGAAAAGAUAGGAAAGUAACAAGUUUAAAUUGAAGAGAUAUGUAUGAAAGAUGGAAAAAAUAAAGAAUGAAAAGUAAUAAGGUUAAAUUGAAGUUAGUGGAAGGAAUU
Long non-coding RNA from Portunus trituberculatus (swimming crab), 2485 nucleotides. RefSeq lists it as uncharacterized. The transcript is spliced from 4 exons. The record is from RefSeq and is a predicted model, not a curated record. Lineage: Eukaryota; Metazoa; Arthropoda; Malacostraca; Decapoda; Portunidae.